Molecule: long non-coding RNA, 198 nt
Organism: Engraulis encrasicolus (European anchovy)
Lineage: Eukaryota; Metazoa; Chordata; Actinopteri; Clupeiformes; Engraulidae
Exons: 3
Source: RefSeq, a predicted model, not a curated record
CAAUUUCAGAGACUGUAAACAGACCAUUUUAUGUCUUAUCUCCAAAUCAUUUCAAUUCCUACAACAUGAUUUCAUUGAAUAUGUUUAGGAAAGAGAAAUUGAGGAGCUACGUGUCACUUCCGACACUUCAUCCUGUAGAGUUUAGGACAGAGGAAUUGAGGAGAGUCUUUUCAUGUCCAGCUCUUCAAUAUGUAAAAG